AGUGAACGCUGGCGGUAGGCCUAACACAUGCAAGUCGAACGGCAGCACAGUAAGAGCUUGCUCUUACGGGUGGCGAGUGGCGGACGGGUGAGGAAUACAUCGGAAUCUACUUUUUCGUGGGGGAUAACGUAGGGAGACUUACGCUAAUACCGCAUACGACCUACGGGUGAAAGCAGGGGAUCUUCGGACUUUGCGCGGUUGAAUGAGCCGAUGUCGGAUUAGCUAGGUGGCGGGGUAAAGGCCCACCAAGGCGACGAUCCGUAGCUGGUCUGAGAGGAUGAUCAGCCACACUGGAACUGAGACACGGUCCAGACUCCUACGGGAGGCAGCAGUGGGGAAUAUUGGACAAUGGGGGCAAGCCUGAUCCAGCCAUACCGCGUGGGUGAAGAAGGCCUUCGGGUUGUAAAGCCCUGUUGUUGUGAAAGAAAAGCAGCACGUUAAUACCCCGCUGUUCUGACGGUACCAAAAGAAUAAGCACCGGCUAACUUCGUG
This 492-nucleotide ribosomal RNA is filed under the name uncultured bacterium. Its description in RNAcentral is "partial 16S ribosomal RNA". It matches the Rfam family "Bacterial small subunit ribosomal RNA", at positions 29 to 507 of the family's 1533-position model. The record is from RNAcentral.